Molecule: unclassified non-coding RNA, 285 nt
Filed under: plant metagenome
Description: partial contains small subunit ribosomal RNA, internal transcribed spacer 1, and 5.8S ribosomal RNA
Rfam family: Eukaryotic small subunit ribosomal RNA (bases 1-54)
Source: RNAcentral
GGUAGUAAAAGUCGUAACAAGGUUUCCGUAGGUGAACCGGCGGAAGGAUCAUUAUUGUAUAACCGAGGUGCGAGGGCUGUCGCUGACCCGAAAGGUCGUGCACGCCCGAGUGCCCUCACACACAUCCAUCUCACCCCUAUGUGCACCACCGCGUGGGUCCCCCUUUGGCUUGUUCGGAGGGGAGCUUACGUUUUCACACAAACUUUGUAUGCAGUGUAGAAUGUAUUUUUUGUUUUUGCGAUCACGCAAUCAAUACAACUUUCAACAACGGAUCUCUUGGCUCUC